This 2727-nucleotide ribosomal RNA is filed under the name Triticum aestivum (bread wheat). RNAcentral describes it as "partial small subunit ribosomal RNA". Lineage: Eukaryota; Viridiplantae; Streptophyta; Magnoliopsida; Poales; Poaceae. The record is from RNAcentral.
UACCUCCUGCGGUAGCUGGAGCUGGAGCUGCGGCGGCGGCCGGAGCGGAGGGAGCGGAGCAGGCCGCGGCGGCGGGUGAGGCCCUUUCCGUUCGGAGCACGGGGCGCGUUCUGGCGGCGCCGCUGGUUCGGCUUCUUCCGCGACUGCGAGCUUGUCGCCCGUUCCCUCAGCCGGUUCUCCUUCCCGGCCUCCGUGCGGCGCCUGCGCUCCCUACUCCGGUGAUGCGUCCGGCGGCGGCGGCGGCGCGUCGUCCUCAAGUGGUUGCGGGCGCAGCGGCGACGUUACUCCGUCCACGAAAUGUACGAACCCCGGAGGGCGGAGAGGCCCCUCACGAGUGGGCUGCACUCGCACCAGCGCGGAAGGUGUGGGUGCGGGCGCGGGUAGCUGGAGUUGUGGUGGGGCCACCAGCCACGGAGCAGCAGGCCGCCGCGCUCCUUUGUGUGCGCUGUCUGCGGCCGGCCGCCAGAGGGCCUGCGGGCGUUGGACAAGCUCCUUUACGGCAGGCGGCAGCUGCUCCUGAUGUACGUUGUGGAGUAGAAGCUCCCACCACGCGGCCCGCGACCUAUACUAGGACUCCUCUGCGUUUCGGUCCUGCCGGCGCCCCGCAAGUGCGGCCGGCGACCGAUACUAGGGCUAGUCCGCCGGAAGUACGCACUAGUCCAGCCGAAGCUGGACCUACCGAAGGGGGAACUGGUGCUCAAGGGCCUGCUGAUACCCUAUCUCCUUCUCCUACUCACGCUGUAGCUUGCGCACAAAGUACUCGCGUUCUUCAAAGGUGGGAUGGUUAAACACUCGUGCGCGCCCACCCAGAGGUAAAGGUUCGCCACCUCCCAUUAGGUUGUUCUCACGUUGUUCAAAACACGGUGGGAACUCUCGCAGUUCCGGGCGGGGCACUCGCCGUAGCCGCACGUUCUGUACCGUAAAGUUCGAAACCUCCGUAAGUUCCAAGUUGUGUUACCGUUCACGAAGUUGGAGAGGGUAACGAUAGCACAGUAGUUCCUGCUUCUCUUCAAGUUCCGUGUUAUACGGCGCGAGUUCCGUGCACCCCCCUUCCCGCGGCACCUCCUACAACCCCUCCCGUUCGGCCGUGCUGGUGCCCCCUUCUGGUUGAGGUUCUUCCUCCUGUUCGCUCUACGCCGGUGGUUGCGGAACUAACGUUCGCAUCUGCCGUACUACUUAUUAUUCCUGAGUUCCCUCCUCCUCGCAGCCGCAAAGUGUCUUCUCGUUUACUCGCGAAAGUACCUCUAGGUUUCCUCCUCCGAACUCGAACUGCGGCUCUUCGUUCGGUUCUACAAGCUCGAGCUCCGACUCUUCGUUCGCUUCUACGAUCUCUAGCUGCGGCGGUUGUGGUUCUGUUUCCGCUUUCUUCACCGAGAACGUUCGUACUACUGACCCCACCUCUAGUACUUCCACCUAGAGUUGCGGAACAGCGGUUCCUUUUCCGACACCAAGCUCUUCUAAUAAGAACAAUGUAAGUUUAAUACCUACGAUGAUCUUGUUCCACGCGUUAGAGGGUUAUGAAACUUCUAAGGCUCCUCGCUCUAGUCACUGACGUAUUUUCUUCUAGAACGUGUUUCUGAAGGGUUCGGUUCCUAAGAAGAGAACGUUCUCGCGUAGUAGCUGUAGCGUCGUUGGUGCGAAUAGCUUCUUGAACUCCAGUUCCGUGACCUUCCGCUAGAACUGCUGUAGGUAUCAAAAUUACUCGUACAUAGGAUAGAGCUCCACCGUCUCGAAACCGUACAACGAAGGUUAUCGUACCCGGAGCACUAAGACCGUGUGGAAGGGUUGCUGUAGAUACCACACAUACUGAACGACUACAUACUGCUCCUUAAAGAUAAAGAACGGUCUACGUAGGUCUCGUGCCCGUGGUUACAACCACGUGGACGAAUGUAGGUCCUUACAUUGGGAUAUGCCAGAAACACGUUGUAGAAGGUGAUACGUCAGCGACUAGAGUGAGGAGCCUUAGAGCUUUCAUAACGCUCUAACGUGUGAAAGUUUUCAUUUGUACCACCCCACGCGUUAGAAUGAAACCUCUAAGGCUCCUCGUUCUAGCCACUGACGUCUCUUCUAGAACGUGUUUCUGAAGGGUUCUUGACGCUUUGGGAGCAGUAUGAAGUCGUCCAGCACGUGGGUUAACUACAGUAACCCUUCCUAGACCAUGGUACAGCGUUGUAAAGAGUGAUAGUCUUUUGUCUAGAACCUAAUGAACUUUUCUAAGAGGACACGCGUUAGAGAGUUGUCAAACAUCUAAUACUCUUGACGUGGUUCUAACCGCGGGCACGAGAUCUCCGUAAACCGUUCUUGACGUUUUAGGAGCAGUCUGAAACCGCUCAUGACGUGGGAUAUCUACAGCGACCCUUCCACACCGUCUUACUGCUCCGGGUACGAUGACGGUCGUUUUACGGUUUCGAGACGUUGGAGCUCUAUCCUUUGUACGAGUAAUUCUGAUCUCAACAACAGUUCUAGCGGAGGCUCACGGUAGUGGAGUUCAAGAAUCUACACGCACCAACAACCCUGCAGCUACUAUUCGAGAACGUUCUCUUUAUAGAACCCUAUUUUUGGGAGCCGGGGGUACACCUCUGACGAUACUCUUAGCGUAUGUAAGUACUUCCGGGGCUUCGGAGGAAGUCCUUACACACGUACAAGUACUGCACCUACAAUUUCGGCUUCGUUUUCCACCAAUGCAAUGACUGCUGACUGCAAGCGCUAUUAUUACAAGUUCUUACU